This 721-nucleotide long non-coding RNA is filed under the name Volvox carteri. RNAcentral describes it as "long non-coding RNA (VCAR_LNC002238)". The record is from RNAcentral. Lineage: Eukaryota; Viridiplantae; Chlorophyta; Chlorophyceae; Chlamydomonadales; Volvocaceae.
AAUAAUAAUCGGUACACAACAACAACGACGCUGCUCAAGUGUGCUUCGUCGUACUAUACGUCAUCAUUAGUAAUAAAGUGCGCCGCCCCUACUUCUCACCGCUCGCCGACGACAAACAGACAAUUGAAAUGAGACCGUCACAGCGAGAGCUAUCAGGACGUUUUUAAAAUUUUAUUUAUGGAGCAGGCGCGAAAUAGAAAUCAAGCCGCGAAGAAGCAGAAGACGACAUGUGUCUAAUGCGCGCGAACCACGGAACAAGACAAACACCAAUCAAUACACCGCAACAAAAGCACAAAGAAACAGCUUUAGCGUCCUCGAAAGGACACGCCGGCAGUAAGGGCGAUUUACAAGAAAGUUGUGGAAUAUAGACUAACGCUGCCCGAUUCAAGUCAUUGGCUACUCCCGCCGGAGUGGUCAGUGAGCCUGUGGUGUGCUAAGACAUAGUAAUUUGCAGUACGUAUGCGCAAUUGGUGAUAGUGGGUUCAAGUCACGGCUCAUGCAACAACUGCGGGUGCGAUGUGCGUUCAUCGCUGACGCGUUAUGUUAAUCGACUUGUCCAGCAGCAGCAUGAGACGAUGUAUUAAGCUUUCUUCAACUUUUGUUUUAUAAAUAAUAACAAUCAUUGUUGAAUUGUUGAAACAAGAAAAUGUGUUUUUUCUUAAUGUAGAUAUAUUAUAAUAUAACGUUUUUUUUCUGCAUGCUGCAGGACAGGAAGAAGCAG